AUUCUGGGAGAAGCCAGCUGCCAGGGAAUGCGGAGCCUUCGACAGCCCUGUGGGAAUGUCCCUGUGGAGGAACUGAGGCCUCCAGCCAACAGCCAUCUGCCAUGUUGUAAGGACACUCAAGCUGCUCUAUGGAGAGGUCCACAUGGUGAGGAACUGAGGCCUCUGGCCAACAGCCACGUGAGUGUGCCAUCUUGGGAAAGGAUCUGCCAGCCCCAGUCAAGCCUUCAGAUACCUGCCACCCUGCCCAGCAUCUUGACUGCAACCUCAUGAAAGACCUUGAGCCAGAACCUUCCAGGAAUCAUAAAUCCGGUUCUGAUUAUCGCCACACACACAGAUCCUUCUCAAAGAUUCAGAGUCUUAUUCUUUUAUCUCUUCCCUAAAAUACGAUCUAAUUUACAAAACUUUGACUUACAACUCCGCCAGAAGCCCAGCUGGCGUGUGAAGUGAUGCACUCUGCAGCCGGCAGCACUGAAAAGCACCGGCCUCCCGGGAACCCAGCAAGGACCGUGAUCUUCAGUUAUUUUGUGCAAUAAAGAAAUUUUGUAAAACGAGUAACACCAGAUCGUGUAUCUGUUGG
This 577-nucleotide long non-coding RNA is filed under the name Homo sapiens (human). RNAcentral describes it as "non-protein coding lnc-MED13L-8:3". Lineage: Eukaryota; Metazoa; Chordata; Mammalia; Primates; Hominidae. The record is from RNAcentral.